CUUUCAUUGUUGUUUAUCUUUGGUUUUAUUUCUUUAAUCAAUAAUGAUUCUAAAAUUCUUAGGUCAAUGACAUCAUUUGCUUUUCUCAAUAUUGUGAAGUCAUCUAAUUUUAUUACAUGGUUUGUAUUAAGAGAGUGAUCUCGAAUUAAUGAAUAAGUUGGAGAGGAUAGUGGACGUAAUGUCCUAUAAGGGACCCCUGAAGUUAGGUGAUGAUAGUUAGAUUGAAGUAAGACAACGGGGAGGCAGAGAGAGAUGCGCAGCGCUUUUUAGGAAGCUAUAUAUUAUUGUUUUUUUCCAGGUUAAAAUGGGACCACGACGUAAUCGUAAAAACGAAAAUCUGCUGCCAGCGCCGAGACAGUAGCUCAACGGCAGGUUGAGGUAAAAGGAGUGUUGACUGGGAGCGAGAUGCUGCGGACCAUUUCAAAAUGAAGAAUAGCAAAGGCGCUGGUGGCAACAAGAAGAAGACUCGCAAGUAAUGCACAGUAUUAUGUUCCUAUGUUUCAAUUAAUGGACAGAGGGAAUAUUAUUAUUCAGACAGAAUAUUAUUUAUUAUUCAGACAGAAUAUUAUUUAUUAAAGUGUUACAGGUA
This is a long non-coding RNA of Penaeus monodon (black tiger shrimp), 589 nucleotides long. RefSeq lists it as uncharacterized. The record is from RefSeq and is a predicted model, not a curated record. Lineage: Eukaryota; Metazoa; Arthropoda; Malacostraca; Decapoda; Penaeidae. The transcript has 2 exons.